GACGAACGCUGGCGGCGUGCUUAACACAUGCCAGUCGAACGGAAAGGCCCUGCUUUUGUGGGGUGCUCGAGUGGCGAACGGGUGAGUAACACGUGAGUAACCUGCCCUUGACUUUGGGAUAACUUCAGGAAACUGGGGCUAAUACCGGAUAGGAGAUCCUGCUGCAUGUUGGGGGUUGGAAAGUUUCGGCGGUUGGGGAUGGACUCGCGGCUUAUCAGCUUGUUGGUGGGGUAGUGGCUUACCAAGGCUUUGACGGGUAGCCGGCCUGAGAGGGUGACCGGCCACAUUGGGACUGAGAUACGGCCCAGACUCCUACGGGAGGCAGCAGUGGGGAAUAUUGCACAAUGGGCGGAAGCCUGAUGCAGCAACGCCGCGUGCGGGAUGACGGCCUUCGGGUUGUAAACCGCUUUCGCCUGUGACGAAGCGUGAGUGACGGUAAUGGGUAAAGAAGCACCGGCUAACUACGUG
Molecule: ribosomal RNA, 468 nt
Filed under: uncultured bacterium
Lineage: Bacteria
Description: partial 16S ribosomal RNA
Rfam family: Bacterial small subunit ribosomal RNA
Source: RNAcentral